AAACUGCUGAAUGUCAGCGAUGUGUUGCUGUGUGGUUUUUGUGACUGAAAGGGAACUAUACCACCGUGUUGAAAAGAGAAGAAGGGGAGGAGACAGAACAACCAAUAUGAAAUAUAUCAUAGCCAGUCGAUCUAGUGAUGAGUUUAAACGAACACACACCGCAUGUGUCCAGCUAGGAUGACUUUGUAAAGUCAGAAUGCAUUGCUUUACAACCUUAGCACCACCACCCCCCCAAAAAAAGAGAGAAAGAGACCUGAAGCAAUGCUCAGCUGAUUCAUCAGGAAAACCACAAGCAUGUCUACAUAGAGGAACACUCAGCAAACACUGAAACAGCAGCUUCCUGUGCGCAAUGGGGGCUCGUGCACUUGGAACAUGAACUGGGUUUCAGGAAGGCUGUGGCACUCUUGUGACUGCUUUUCACAGAAAAAGCAGGCCUGCCAUGUCUCUGGUGCAGAUCUCCAGCAGUGAAUGUGACAGGGGCUCUGGUGCUGUAAACCAGGUGGCAGCUGGAGUGUACGUGGCAUGCUGGCAUGCUAUUUGUGAAGCGUGCUAUUUGUGACACAGCACUGGUCCAGUUACACCACAGUUCAGGAAAGGGAACAGGAGACAGCCCACCAACAGAUACCAGAGGAGCUUGAACGCAGCAGCACCGGCUGAAACAGCGGCUGUGUUCUCCGAACUGCAGUGGCAUCCCCAAUCGAGGAGAGCGAGCAGGGAGAAACAGCAGGAGUAUCCAAUCCCCAAUCGAGGAGAGCGAGCAGGGAGAAACAGCAGGAAUACCUAAUCCCCAAUCGAGGAGAGCGAGCAGGGAGAAACAGCAGGAAUACCCAAUCGAAGAGAGCGAGCAGGGAGAAACAGCAGAAGUAUCCAAUCCCCAAUCGAGGAGAGCGAGCAGGGAGAAACAGCAGGAGUAUCCAAUCCCCAAUCGAAGAGAGCGAGCAGAGAGAAACAGCAGGAGUAUCCCAUCCCCAAUCGAGGCGAGCGAGCAGGGAGAAACAGCAGGAAUACCCAAUCAAGGAGAGCGAGCAGGGAGAAACAGCAGGAGUAUCCAAUCCCCAAUCGAGGAGAGCAAGCAGGGAGAAACAGCAGGAGUAUCCAAUCCCCAAUCGAAGAGAGUGAGCAGGGAGAAACAGCAGGAGUAUCCAAUCCCCAAUCGAGUAGAGCGAGCAGGGAGAAACAGCAGGAGUAUCCAAUCCCCAAUCGAGGAGAGCGAGCAGGGAGAAACAGCAGGAGUAUCCAAUCGAGGAGAGCUAGCAGGGAGAAACAGCAGGAGUAUCCAAUCCCCAAUCGAAGAGAGCGAGCAGGGAGAAACAGCAGGAGUAUCCAAUCCCCAAUCGAGUAGAGCGAGCAGGGAGAAACAGCAGGAGUAUCCAAUCCCCAAUCGAGGAGAGCCAGCAGGGAGAAACAGCAGGAGUAUCCAAUCCCCAAUCGAGGAGAGCGAGCAGGGAGAAACAGAAGGAGUAUCCAAUCGAGGAGAGCGAGCAGGGAGAAACAGCAGGAGUAUCCAAUCCCCAAUCGAGGAGAGCGAGCAGGGAGAAACAGCAGGAGUACACAGAGGAUGCUGGGUAUGAACAGGUGAGCAGAAGAGUACGCACACUUUAUUUAGACUAGCGUCUUAACCUUACUGUGAGGGUGCAGCAGGGGGAGGCGGAGGGGUGCGAAUGAAUCAAACACUAUGGAGGGGUCAGUUGCCAGUCACCGUCCCAAACAUUCAGUUAAUUAAUACAUUUCUAAAUUGAAGUAUGAAUCCUACAAACCU
Molecule: long non-coding RNA, 1759 nt
Organism: Polyodon spathula (Mississippi paddlefish)
Lineage: Eukaryota; Metazoa; Chordata; Actinopteri; Acipenseriformes; Polyodontidae
Exons: 3
Source: RefSeq, a predicted model, not a curated record